Non-coding RNA from Pelobates cultripes (western spadefoot toad), 354 nucleotides. Lineage: Eukaryota; Metazoa; Chordata; Amphibia; Anura; Pelobatidae. The record is from the annotation of a GenBank genome assembly.
GGGAGGGACAGACUCAUAGCUCCUUCUGUCUGUGUCACUGUGUCACCCUGCAGGGGGAGGGACAGACUCAUAGCUCCUUCUGUCUGUGUCACCGUGUCACCCUGCAGGGGGAAGGACAGAUUCAUAGCUCCUUCUGUCUGUGUUACUGUGUCACCCUGCAGGGGGAGGGACAGACUCAUAGCUCCUUCUGUCUGUGUCACUGUGUCACCCUGCAGGGGGAGGGACAGACUCAUAGCUCCUUCUGUCUGUGUCACCGUGUCACCCUGCAGGGGGAGGGACAGACUCAUAGCUCCUUCUGUCUGUGUCACUGUGUCACCCUGCAGGGGGAGGGACAGACUCAUAGCUCCUUCUGUC